Molecule: ribosomal RNA, 297 nt
Filed under: uncultured bacterium
Lineage: Bacteria
Description: partial 16S ribosomal RNA
Rfam family: Bacterial small subunit ribosomal RNA
Source: RNAcentral
CGGUUCCUACGGGAGGCAGCAGUGAGGAAUAUUGGUCAAUGGUCGGGAGACUGAACCAGCCAAGCCGCGUGAGGGAGGAAGGUACAGAGUAUCGUAAACCUCUUUUGUCAGGGAACAAAGACUGGGACGCGUCCCCGGAUGAGUGUACCUGAAGAAAAAGCAUCGGCUAACUCCGUGCCAGCAGCCGCGGUAAUACGGAGGAUGCGAGCGUUAUCCGGAUUUAUUGGGUUUAAAGGGUGCGCAGGCGGUCUGUUAAGUCAGCGGUCAAAGCCCGGGGCUCAACCCCGGCCCGCCGUU